Molecule: ribosomal RNA, 142 nt
Filed under: uncultured eukaryote
Lineage: Eukaryota
Description: partial 18S ribosomal RNA
Rfam family: Eukaryotic small subunit ribosomal RNA
Source: RNAcentral
UGGUGGAGCGAUUUGCUGGUCAAUUCCGAUAACGAACGAGACUCUAGCCUACUAAAUAGUUCGGGGACCCCCACAAAGGGGCCCCGCUUCAACUUCUUAGAGGGACAGGUGGCGUUUAGCCACACGAGAUUGAGCAAUAACA